RNAcentral lists this ribosomal RNA (508 nucleotides) under uncultured bacterium. Its description in RNAcentral is "partial 16S ribosomal RNA". It matches the Rfam family "Bacterial small subunit ribosomal RNA", at positions 30 to 523 of the family's 1533-position model. The record is from RNAcentral.
AUUGAACGCUGGCGGCAUGCCUAACACAUGCAAGUCGAACGGCAGCAUGAAUAGGGGUAACCUUAUUUGAUGGCGAGUGGCGGACGGGUGAGUAAUAUGUAGGAAUCUACCUAGAGGAGGGGGAUAACUUGGGGAAACCCAAGCUAAUACCACAUAAGCCCUACGGGGGAAAGCAGGGGAUCGAAAGACCCUGCGCCUUAUGAUGAGCAUACAUCGGAUUAGCUAGUUGGUGGGGUAAAGGCCUACCAAGGCGACGAUCCGUAGCUGGUCUGGGAGGAUGAUCAGCCACACUGGGACUGAGACACGGCCCAGACUCCUACGGGAGGCAGCAGUGGGGAAUAUUGGACAAUGGGCGAAAGCCUGAUCCAGCAAUGCCGCGUGUGUGAAGAAGGCCUUAGGGUUGUAAAGCACUUUCAGUAGGGAGGAAGGUUGUAAUGCUAAUAUCAUUGCAAAUUGACGUUACCUACAGAAGAAGCACCGGCUAACUCUGUGCCAGCAGCCGCCGUAA